GCAUAUAAUUGCUAUUAUUAUGUUUCACAAAGUUUAAUGAAUAAAGUUAUUAUAAAUAAUGAUUGCAAUAAAUUUUUAAUUUUUAACCAGGCAAUCUAUGUUUACGAUAUACAUUUUUUUUAUUACAGUAAUGAUAUUCCAGUAUAAAUUUUACCUGACUUAUAUAUAGAGAGUAUAAUAUAUGAUCACGCAACGUUGGGCCAGCAUUGGCCCAACAUAGAGUUGUAAAUGUAAUUUCAGUUGAUAAACACUUUCGGUAUAACAUUAACUUUUCAUAAAGCCUGCUGCAAUCGAAAUUAUCCGCCUCCCAAGAGAAAUAAAGCGUAAAAUAUUAUAUAAUCAAUUCUAUUAACAAAAUUUCAUAUCGGCCCUAUGUUGCUACUAACAUAAUGCCAACAUUUGCCCGAUUAUUUAUAACCAACAUGAGAUAAUAAUAUGAAUUUACAACAACAGACCAACGUUGGGCCAAUGUUGUGCAGCCGACACCAACGUGCGACCAAUGUACCGACAAUUUGCCAACGUUGGGCCAAUGUUGUGCAGCCAACAUAAACUUGCGACCAACGGACCGACAAUUUGCCAACGUUGGGCCAAUGUUGUGCAGCCAACAUAAACUUGCGACCAACGGACCGACAAUUUGCCAACGUUGGGCCAAUGUUGUGAAGCCAACACCAAC
RNAcentral lists this long non-coding RNA (673 nucleotides) under Mytilus galloprovincialis (Mediterranean mussel). Lineage: Eukaryota; Metazoa; Mollusca; Bivalvia; Mytilida; Mytilidae. The record is from RNAcentral.